AAAGCGCUUCCCUUUUGAGGG
RNAcentral lists this microRNA (21 nucleotides) under Pongo abelii (Sumatran orangutan). RNAcentral describes it as "Pab-Mir-430-P16_3p* (star (passenger))". Lineage: Eukaryota; Metazoa; Chordata; Mammalia; Primates; Hominidae. RNAcentral also lists the same sequence under 1 other name. The record is from RNAcentral.